RNAcentral lists this transfer RNA (76 nucleotides) under Deltaproteobacteria bacterium. RNAcentral's name for it is "tRNA-Thr". It matches the Rfam family "tRNA". Rfam says of the family: Transfer RNA (tRNA) molecules are approximately 80 nucleotides in length. Their secondary structure includes four short double-helical elements and three loops (D, anti-codon, and T loops). The record is from RNAcentral. Lineage: Bacteria; Pseudomonadati; Myxococcota; Myxococcia.
GCCAGCGUAGCUCAGUUGGUAGAGCUACUGAUUUGUAAUCAGUGGGUCAGGGGUUCGAGUCCCUUCGCUGGCUCCA